Molecule: ribosomal RNA, 252 nt
Filed under: uncultured bacterium
Lineage: Bacteria
Description: partial 16S ribosomal RNA
Rfam family: Bacterial small subunit ribosomal RNA
Source: RNAcentral
UACAGAGGUGGCAAGCGUUGUUCGGAAUUACUGGGCGUAAAGGGCGCGUAGGCGGCCUUCUACGUCAGACGUGAAAUCCCCAGGCUUAACCUGGGAACUGCGUCUGAUACUGGAGGGCUUGAGUGCAGGAGAGGGAUGUGGAAUUCCGGUGUAGCGGUGAAAUGCGUAGAUAUCUGGAGGAACACCGGUGGCGAAGGCGGCAUCCUGGACCGACACUGACGCUGAGGCGCGAAAGCUAGGGUAGCAAACGGG